GUGCUCACUUUGGCAGCAUAUAUACUAAAAUUGGAAUGAUACAGAAAAGUUAAGCAUGACCACUGGGCAAAAAUUACAUGCAAAUUCAUGAAGUCUAUAUUUUU
This 104-nucleotide small nuclear RNA is filed under the name Catagonus wagneri (Chacoan peccary). The record is from RNAcentral. Lineage: Eukaryota; Metazoa; Chordata; Mammalia; Artiodactyla; Tayassuidae.